Molecule: ribosomal RNA, 454 nt
Filed under: uncultured bacterium
Lineage: Bacteria
Description: bacterial SSU rRNA
Rfam family: Bacterial small subunit ribosomal RNA
Source: RNAcentral
GACGAACGCNGGCGGCGUGCCUAAUACAUGCAAGUAGAACGCUGAAGGAGGAGCUUGCUUCUCUGGAUGAGUUGCGAACGGGUGAGUAACGCGUAGGUAACCUGCCUGGUAGCGGGGGAUAACUAUUGGAAACGAUAGCUAAUACCGCAUAAGAGUAGAUGUUGCAUGACAUUUGCUUAAAAGGUGCAAUUGCAUCACUACCAGAUGGACCUGCGUUGUAUUAGCCAGUUGGUGGGGUAACGGCUCACCAAGGCAACGAUACAUAGCCGACCUGAGAGGGUGAUCGGCCACACUGGGACUGAGACACGGCCCAGACUCCUACGGGAGGCAGCAGUAGGGAAUCUUCGGCAAUGGACGGAAGUCUGACCGAGCAACGCCGCGUGAGUGAAGAAGGUUUUCGGAUCGUAAAGCUCUGUUGUAAGAGAAGAACGAGUGUGAGAGUGGAAAGUCACAC